AGCACCGCCGCGGUAAUACAGAGGGUGCGAGCGUUAAUCGGAUUUACUGGGCGUAAAGCGUGCGUAGGCGGCUUUUUAAGUCGGAUGUGAAAUCCCUGAGCUUAACUUAGGAAUUGCAUUCGAUACUGGGAAGCUAGAGUAUGGGAGAGGAUGGUAGAAUUCCAGGUGUAGCGGUGAAAUGCGUAGAGAUCUGGAGGAAUACCGAUGGCGAAGGCAGCCAUCUGGCCUAAUACUGACGCUGAGGUACGAAAGCAUGGGGAGCAAACAGGAUUAGAUACCCCCGUAGUCCCUGUCUCUUAUACA
This 303-nucleotide ribosomal RNA is filed under the name uncultured bacterium. RNAcentral's name for it is "partial 16S ribosomal RNA". It matches the Rfam family "Bacterial small subunit ribosomal RNA", at positions 510 to 808 of the family's 1533-position model. The record is from RNAcentral.